AGCGAACGCUGGCGGCAGGCCUAACACAUGCAAGUCGAACGAACUCUUCGGAGUUAGUGGCGGACGGGUGAGUAACACGUGGGAACGUGCCUUUUGGUUCGGAAUAACUCAGGGAAACGUGUGCUAAUACCGAAUGUGCCCUUCGGGGGAAAGAUUUAUCGCCAUUGGAGCGGCCCGCGUCUGAUUAGCUAGUUGGUGAGGUAACGGCUCACCAAGGCGACGAUCAGUAACUGGGUUGAGAGGAUGACCAGCCACACUGGGACUGAGACACGGCCCAGACUCCUACGGGAGGGAGCAAUGGGGGAUCUUGCGCCAUGGGCGGAAGCCUGACGGAGCCCUGCCGGGUGAAUGAUGUAGGUCUUAGGAUUGUAAAAUUCUUUCACCUGGGACGAUAAUGACGGUACCCGGAGAAGAAGCCCCGGCUAACUUCGUG
This 433-nucleotide ribosomal RNA is filed under the name uncultured bacterium. Its description in RNAcentral is "partial 16S ribosomal RNA". It matches the Rfam family "Bacterial small subunit ribosomal RNA", at positions 29 to 507 of the family's 1533-position model. The record is from RNAcentral.